Molecule: ribosomal RNA, 431 nt
Filed under: uncultured bacterium
Lineage: Bacteria
Description: partial 16S ribosomal RNA
Rfam family: Bacterial small subunit ribosomal RNA
Source: RNAcentral
AACGAACGCUGGCGGCAUGCCUAACACAUGCCAGUCGAACGAGACCUUCGGGUCUAGUGGCGCACGGGUGCGUAACGCGUGGGAACCUGCCCUUAGGUUCGGAAUAACUCCCCGAAAGGGGUGCUAAUACCGGAUAAUGUCUUCGGACCAAAGAUUUAUCGCCUUUGGAUGGGCCCGCGUUGGAUUAGCUAGUUGGUAGGGUAAAAGCCUACCAAGGCGACGAUCCAUAGCUGGUCUGAGAGGAUGAUCAGCCACACUGGGACUGAGACACGGCCCAGACUCCUACGGGAGGCAGCAGUGGGGAAUAUUGGACAAUGGGCGAAAGCCUGAGCCAGCAAUGCCGCGUGAGUGAUGAAGGCCUUAGGGUUGUAAAGCUCUUUUACCCGGGAUGAUAAUGACAGUACCGGGAGAAUAAGCUCCGGCUAACUCCG